This is a long non-coding RNA of Magallana angulata, 380 nucleotides long. RefSeq lists it as uncharacterized. The transcript is spliced from 3 exons. The record is from RefSeq and is a predicted model, not a curated record. Lineage: Eukaryota; Metazoa; Mollusca; Bivalvia; Ostreida; Ostreidae.
CACGUAUUCACCCUCAAUAUAUAAAGCUGCAUAAUAGAUAUAAAACGAUCAUCUUUCUUUAUGACUACAAGCUGACAUGCAAGAUUGUUGAGAAUCCAAUAGAUAAAAAUAUGACUCUAAACAACAGCAUCUGUGUAUAUAUUAUACUCGGACUGCUUCUAUUGGCGAACGCAGCAGAAGCCAACUUUCUUUGCCGAUUUUUAAUUGGUGGUGUAACAACUGGUGUUACCAGUUUAGCUGGGAGUCCGCUUCUCGCAUCAGCUGCUACAGGGGUGGUGUCUUCACUUGCUGACAAAAUAUGCGGUGAAUAAAAGUGCAUGUCUGAUCCUGUAAUUACUGUAUUACCUAACCAUAAUGCAAUAAACAGUGUAUUAAAAGAA